Molecule: long non-coding RNA, 256 nt
Filed under: Elaeis guineensis (African oil palm)
Lineage: Eukaryota; Viridiplantae; Streptophyta; Magnoliopsida; Arecales; Arecaceae
Description: long non-coding RNA (EGUI_LNC028934)
Source: RNAcentral
AGUUCUACAACCAAGAUACCCUCGCAGCAAAGUUGCCCUUGAUAACAAGUCGACUCGCUCCUAGAGUCCUCCUGGCAAACACGAUCCCCGUCCAAGUCACACGGAACUCUACCCCGCUACCAAUCUGGAGUCGAGCCCGUGAAUCACAAUGCUGGCUCCACCAUGCCUGCCUCUAACACUCCAUUAAAGUUGACCUUCAGAAACGACGGAAAAAGAGGCUCCUAAAAGAUGAACAUUCGAUGGAUCGCUACACUCC